GGGCUUGUACUGGUUUCGACGGGGAUUUUGAACGUGGGGCAGCCAUCCGUGGACCAGGACCACGUUAAAAACUGGAAAUUAAAUAUAAACGCUGAUAACAGAGUUUUAGCAGCUGCUUAAUUGCAGCAGUCGGACCCGGUAAGCCUGCAGCCCGGGAACCCGGCUUCGAUUUUAUGCAGGACCCUCAUGUCACUAAGCUUUGCCUGACAUGAAGUAUGAUGAAGCUACUGAAAUCCGGAGUUUGUCUUUAGACGCCGGACAGAGGGAAUGUUAAAAUAAAGACUGUGAUGGAAGACACCACACCGGAGAGAUUUUCGGACAGGGGUUCGAUUCCCCUCAGGUCCAU
RNAcentral lists this transfer-messenger RNA (346 nucleotides) under uncultured Anaerobutyricum sp. It matches the Rfam family "transfer-messenger RNA". From Rfam's summary of the family: Bacterial tmRNA, also known as 10Sa RNA or SsrA, is named for its dual tRNA and mRNA-like properties. Its role is to liberate the mRNA from a stalled ribosome. The record is from RNAcentral. Lineage: Bacteria; Bacillati; Bacillota; Clostridia; Lachnospirales; Lachnospiraceae.